This 72-nucleotide transfer RNA is filed under the name Phrynosoma platyrhinos (Desert horned lizard). Its description in RNAcentral is "tRNA-OTHER". Lineage: Eukaryota; Metazoa; Chordata; Lepidosauria; Squamata; Phrynosomatidae. The record is from RNAcentral.
GCCAGUGUGGUGUAGUGGUUUGAGUGUUGGACUAUGACUCUGGAGAUCAGAGUUCAAUUCCCUGCUCAGCCA